RNAcentral lists this ribosomal RNA (28 nucleotides) under Usnea rubicunda. Its description in RNAcentral is "partial 28S ribosomal RNA". The record is from RNAcentral. RNAcentral also lists the same sequence under 4 other names. Lineage: Eukaryota; Fungi; Ascomycota; Lecanoromycetes; Lecanorales; Parmeliaceae.
AUUGACCUCGGAUCAGGUAGGAUACCCG